This 1230-nucleotide ribosomal RNA is filed under the name Triticum aestivum (bread wheat). RNAcentral describes it as "partial small subunit ribosomal RNA". The record is from RNAcentral. Lineage: Eukaryota; Viridiplantae; Streptophyta; Magnoliopsida; Poales; Poaceae.
AUGCUUCGGUUUCUUAAAAGGUUGAAGCUGAGCAACAUGCAGAGAGUAAGAGAAGUAUUAGUUCCGCCAUUGGAGGAAUUAGUUUUAGAUCGAAUGCCAGAUUUACAGAUAUGUUCAUGUACUUCUGUGGGGGAUAUGAAGUCUAGUUUAAGGGUGCUGGAGAUCUGGAGUUGCUCUGCACUUGAGGUGUUUGAUCUGUUUCAGAAAGGUUAUAACUACAAAACUGAGCUUAAGUCGCCGAUGCCUAGCCUGAGGAAACUCAUUGUGGUCGGUUGUCCUCGUUUGCAAGUACAGACCCCUCUUCCGCCUUCAGCCACACUUUCUAAACUAAUAAUCACUAGUGUUUCAACAAUUAUGUCAAUGGAGGGACUUUCCAUGGAAACAUUAAAGCUUUAUGGAUAUGGACUUCCGAGUGAGAUUAUGGCACUCAAUGACAAAAUUUUGGCAUUCAGUAAUCUUAAGGAUAUAAAAUACUUACAGAUAUUGUCUUGCAAAAGCAUGACAUCUAUUUCAUUCAAAGGUUUAAGUCAGCUCAUCUCUUUAAAGAGUUUGAAAAUAGAAUAUUGCAGAGAACUUUUCUCUUCAGAUGUUGUGCCAGAGCAGACCCAUGAAGACAAGAUAACUGCAAAUGAGGUUGCUCUCCCAUCUCUUGAAAGUCUUUGUAUUAGAGAUUGUGGAAUAACAGGGAAGUUGUUAUCUCUGAUGUUGCAACAUUCACCAGCCCUGAAGGAAUUGACUUUAUAUGAAUGCCCGCAGUUGAAACAGCUAAAGAUAGAAGAGGAAGGAAAGGUUCAAUCAAACUUUAUCUCAGGUUCCGAGACUUCGUCAUCAGGAUAUGUAGAUGAUGCAUGGACAAACUCAUAUGUUGACGGAGUCGUGCACAUUCCGCUGAAUCUCAUAAGGAUAACCAUUGGUAAAUGCCCUCAUCUAAUAUUUGAUGGGAGUAGGGAAGAUUUGGUUGGAUUUACCUCCCUUGAUAAAGAUGCCCAAGAGAAGGGAAGAUGUCUCCUCCCACAAUCACUUGAUCAACUUGUUUGGAUUGAUUAUCCCCAAAAAACACUGCGACCCUGCUUUGUGCGGAAUCUCACACGCCUCAGAAAAUUAGAAGUAAUUGAAGGAAGUUUGGAAUAUCUACAGAUGGAUUCCUGUACGGCGUUAGAAGAAUUGGAAAUUGAAAAUUGCCAUCUGCUCAUCCCUGUCCUGGCCCACCUGUUGCAGUACUUAGCUUAA